UUGUAUGGAUUGGUCUGUUUAGAGAUCCAAACUUUCACUGGUCUGAUGGGAGCAGAUUUGUCUACAGAAACUGGGCAGACGUUUUCAACGUAAUAGGCUCCAACAGAAUCAUUUGUGGAGUCACAUGGAGUCCAGGGCAAUGGAGGUUUCGCUCAUGUGAAACAAAAAGGUCAUUUGUUUGCCACAGCCUCCCAGGCAAGUGUUUAAAUGGUAUUUACUUAUUGAUGUGCAUGUAGGACAACAUGAGCUGCAGUUUUAAGUGUAGCUUCAUUUUUCUUGUUUAAAACGUAGAAAUGAAACGGCUUGUGAAGCUGAGACUGAAGACUGAGGACUCUGUCAAUCUGAACGAUCCGCUUGUGAUGGUAAACAUCCUGAAGAAGCUGCAGGACAGACUGAAUGAGAAUGGAACGAGUGGAACCACCUUGAAAUGGAGAGAGCAGCCUGACGGAGACGUCUUUAAGAAGAAGAAGGCCGAACUCUGAGUUAUUAAUCUCAACUUAGUACGAUAUAAAUCUGGUUAUAUCUCUGGUCACUGGCAGUUCAAAUGUAAUCAUACAGCCUCAAUCUGUAAUGUGUGUUUUUUUAUGAUUUUGUAAUAAUGAAAAAUUAGCUUUAGAAUUUAAUUUUUUUAAAUUUUAUUUUUUAUAUAUAUUUUGGAUCACAGUCUUGACUUUAAUCUGAUGUAGAAUUUAUAGAAGUAGGUAAAGAUUGACGGGUUGAGGCAAGAAACUCAUCACCAAAGAUUCAUGAUUCAAUCAAAGGUCUGUUUUGCUGCUUUGAACUAAUCUGAGCUUCUUUUGGUUCGAUCCACUGGAUUGGAUCACACUGUCUGACUUUUGUCAAACUCUUAUUCUACGUGUGUAUAUUAAUAAUAAACUUAUUUUGUCCCAA
Long non-coding RNA from Xiphophorus couchianus (Monterrey platyfish), 891 nucleotides. RefSeq lists it as uncharacterized. The record is from RefSeq and is a predicted model, not a curated record. NCBI's taxonomy places the organism in Eukaryota, Metazoa, Chordata, Actinopteri, Cyprinodontiformes, Poeciliidae. The transcript has 2 exons.